GUCUUUUUGAGAAUAAUUUAAAGUCAAAUCUGCCCACUGAUUUUAUUAAAGGGCUGGCAGUAAACUGACUGUACAAAGGUAGCAUAAUAAUUAGUCUUUUAAUUGAAGACUUGAAUGAAGGAUUUCAUGAGAUAUAGACUGUCUCUUUUAUAUAAUUUGAAUUUAAUUUUUUAGUAAAAAAGCUAAAAUUUAUUUAAAAGACGAGAAGACCCUAUAGAGUUUCAUAUUUGAUUUAAAUUAUAAUUUUUUAUUAAAAUUAAAUAAAAAUUAAAUUAAAUAUUUUAUUGGGGUGAUAGAAAAAUAAAAUUAACUUUUUUUAUAGGAUAAAUGUAUAUCUUGCAUAUUUUAACCAUUAAUUAAUGAAAAAAUGAUCCAUAAUUUAUGAUUAUAAGAAAAAAUUACCUUAGGGAUAACAGCGUAAUUUUUUUUUUUAGCUCAAAUAAGAAAAAAAGUUUGCGACCUCGAUGUUGGAUUAAGAUAAAAUUUAAAUGUAGAAGUUUAAAAUUUUUGAUCUGUUCGAUCAUUAAAAUCUUACA
RNAcentral lists this ribosomal RNA (536 nucleotides) under Pedesta gupta. RNAcentral's name for it is "partial 16S ribosomal RNA". The stretch from base 409 to 536 matches the Rfam family "Archaeal large subunit ribosomal RNA", at positions 2542 to 2669 of the family's 2987-position model. Lineage: Eukaryota; Metazoa; Arthropoda; Insecta; Lepidoptera; Hesperiidae. The record is from RNAcentral.